Pseudomyrmex gracilis is the source of this 1106-nucleotide long non-coding RNA. RefSeq lists it as uncharacterized. NCBI's taxonomy places the organism in Eukaryota, Metazoa, Arthropoda, Insecta, Hymenoptera, Formicidae. The record is from RefSeq and is a predicted model, not a curated record. The transcript has 3 exons.
CGAGUUUGCAACUAUGCCUCGGGCUUGCAAUUGCCUGCUCGAUCCUCGAUUGCCAUGCUCUGCACUCUGCAGUCUUCCACGAGCACCGGUCGAGCGCGAGACAGUUACGUGCGUGAUGGUAGUGUGGUUUGUUUGUUGUUUUUUUUUUUUUUUGAGUGUUUGUGUGUUAUUACGGUAUUUGUCAUUUUUGGUUUGGAAAGAAAGAGAAUGAGUUCUGAUUUUACAGCACAAGAGCAAGGAAAGAGUAUUUAUGCGAUAUUUGCAAAAAACGUGACGGAUGGCGUGGUAGCGGAAGAGAGUGGCGAGGCAAAAGAGGGUGGCAAAUUGAAAAUAAUAGGACAACUUCAAGAGGCAGAGAGACAGAUACUUACAACAGAGGAGGGCUGCACGCCCGUGUUAUUAACUACAAAAUUAAUAAUAUCUAUAAGAAAUAACAGCAACGGCUUCAACUCCUGAAUCAGCACAAAAUCGAAUGUCAGGAAGCAUUGUCCGCAGUGACAACGGAGGAGGAACAAGCAGCAAUAAAGAACAUGGCAUUACAGAAGAAACACAAGGGCGAGCUGAAGGAAUUAUGGAUAUAAUAAAGUUGGUGUUGCAGCUGGAUCAGAAAGUAAACGGAUCAACAGAGCAUACUGGAAAAGGCAGGUGUUCCUGGGUUCUAUGUGACGAACAAUCCAACAGAAAUUCAAGUACAGAUGAGACUGUGAGAUUUUAUAAUAAGACUUAGUAAAAUGGACGUACCAAGUUAAUAUAGUAUUUCUCGCAUAAUUUAAGAGAUACUUUAUUAUAUUUGUAAUAAAAUUUAUAUAUUAUNAGAAAGUUUUUUUGUGUUAUUUUAUUGAUAUGAAUUUAUUAUAUGAAUUUCUCUGUUUGUUGUCGCAAAUAAUUGCAGUCUUUAGGUGAUAUUUUUUCUAGAAAGAAGAAACUCACAAGAUUUAUUAUAAACAAUUAUUAUUAUUAUAAAAUACUUUAUUUAAAUUAAGAUUAUUUUGUACAGUGCAUAUGUUACAUUAUCUUAUCAUAACACUUAAGUAAAAUGUAUGUAAUAGUGUUUUUCUGUACGCUUUAAGAACAAAUGUAUUUUUUGUUAAGUUACGGUUGGUCCA